RNAcentral lists this transfer RNA (97 nucleotides) under Phycisphaerae bacterium. RNAcentral describes it as "tRNA-Thr". The record is from RNAcentral. Lineage: Bacteria; Pseudomonadati; Planctomycetota; Phycisphaerae.
GACGGCCAGUGGCCCGUCGUGGUGGGGCAUUCGCUCGGUGGGCCGAUAGCGGCAAGAUUGGCCGCGAUGUAUCCCGAUCGCGUCGCGGGGCUCGUCA